This 253-nucleotide ribosomal RNA is filed under the name uncultured bacterium. RNAcentral's name for it is "partial 16S ribosomal RNA". It matches the Rfam family "Bacterial small subunit ribosomal RNA", at positions 524 to 776 of the family's 1533-position model. The record is from RNAcentral.
UACAGAGGUCUCAAGCGUUGUUCGGAUUCAUUGGGCGUAAAGCGCGUGUAGGCGGUCCGGUAAGUCCGCUGUGAAAGUCGAGGGCUCAACCCUCGAAUGCCGGUGGAUACUGUCGGGCUAGAGUACGGAAGAGGCGAGUGGAAUUCCCAGUGUAGAGGUGAAAUUCGUAGAUAUUGGGAAGAACACCGGUGGCGAAGGCGGCUCACUGGCUCAUAUCUGACGCUCAGGCGCGACAGCGUGGGGAUCAAACAGG